This 2241-nucleotide ribosomal RNA is filed under the name Triticum aestivum (bread wheat). Its description in RNAcentral is "partial small subunit ribosomal RNA". Lineage: Eukaryota; Viridiplantae; Streptophyta; Magnoliopsida; Poales; Poaceae. The record is from RNAcentral.
AUGAGUAAGCGGAGCGGCCUGCUCUGCGUCCUGCUCUUGUCGCUGGUGGUGCUGCUGCAGGCUGCCUCUCUCCGCUUGCCCGUGGCCGCAGGCAGCAACCGCCAGCUCGUCGUUGCUGCUGCUGCUGCUCGGAUUGGAGACGAAUUUUUGUGUCAAGAUCCGAUCGGGCGACCCAGCAGCAGCAGCGUCAUGUUCAGCAAUGCUGGCGACGAGCUCAGCAGCCUACCCGCUGCUCCUGCUGCCGCCUUCACCCAACAGGGCUUCACUGCUCCUGGUGCCGCCUUCAACCAAGAGGGCUUCACUGCUCCUGCUGAUGCCUUCACCCAAGAGGGCUUCCUUGGUGACGAAGCCUUCUCAUCAGGUGACAAAUACCCAAAAGAAGAUGAAGACGAACUGCUAUCCGGUGAUGGAUAUUCAAGAGAUCCCGAGAGAUCUGUUGAAGAAGAAGGGCCUCUAGGCGAAGAAGAGGAAGACGGAGAUGAUCUGUUGCUCAGCGUUAAACAAGGUCCUCAAGUUGAGCCUAGCAGCAACAACUAUGAAUUGGAUGGGAGCAGUGCCAACGUGCAGUGCCCUGAGUGCGGGAAGCUCUUCAGGAACGACAAGUCCAUGUUCGGUCAUCUCCGAAGCCAUCCCAAUAGGGGGUACAAAAAGGGUUCUGGUCAUCUCAAAAGCCGUCCAAGCAAAGGCUACAAACCACCUGCCAGGCCCAGGCCACUGCCGAGCCGCAACGGUAAACUGUCGCAACUGCCGAGCCGCAACGGUAAUCUGUCGCCACCUGCCAACGACAGCAGUCGCGUGGCCAGGUACAGCCAGCGUGAUCCCGAAUUAAGUAGAUUUGAAGUAAUGAUCGCUUACGUGAUGCUCACGCUUAAGCAACGCGGUGAUGGGGUAGCGCAGGAUCAGUCUCACAAGAGAAAGCAUGAGUCCAGCGAACUAGAUGUUCCUGAAGAAGAUUUGGUAAGGAACCAAGCAGGAGAUGAUGUCAUGCUCGGUGAUAACCAUGGCACCUCUGUUGCUGAGAUGCUAGGAGAUGAUGUGGUGCACCGUAGCGAACAAGGCAGUUCCCUUGUGGAGAUGGCAGUAGAUGAUGCCGUGCUCGGUGAUAAACAUGGCACCUCUGUUGCUGAGAUGCCAGGAGAUGAUGCGGUGCACCGUAGCGAACAAGGCAGUUCCCUUGUGGAGAUGGCAGUCGAUGAUGUCGUGCUCGGUGAUAAACAUGGCACCUCAGUUNNNNNNNNNNCAGGAAAUAAUGUCGUGCUCGGUGAUAAACAUGGUACCUCAGUUGCUGAGAUGCCAGGAGAUGAUGCGGUCUACCGUAGCGAACAAGGCAGUUCCCUUGCGGAGAUGGCAGGAGCUGACGUGGUGCUCCCGAACGAGCACCACGGUUCUGCUGCAGUGAUGGCAGGAGAUGACGUGGUGCACCGUAGCGAACAAGGCAGUUCCCUUGCAGAGAUGGCAGGAGAUGAUGUCAUGCUCGGUGAUAAACAUGGCACCUCAGUUGCUGAGAUGCCAGGAGAUGAUGCGGUGCACCGUAGCGAACAAGGCAGUUCCCUUGCAAAGAUGGCAGGAGAUGACGUGGUGCUCCCAAACGAGCACCACGGUUCUGUUGCAGUGAUGGAAGGAGAUGUGGUAGUUCGCAACGAACAUGGCAAUGUCGAGGUACCAAGGAAGAAGGGGAGGAAGAAGUCCAAAGAAAGCACAGAGGCACGUAGAAAGGAGAAGGUGCCCAGUGCAAGUACGGUCAAGCGUUCUUACACAUGCAAGCAAUGCAAGGCAGAAUUCCCCACACAUCAAGCUCUGGGCGGGCACAUGGCUGCGCACAACAAGGACAAGAGGAUCCAGGCCCAGAAUGAGCAAGCAGCAGCAACAUGGGAGGCACAUCAGAACCAGAUAGACCGGAGCCUAAACAGGCUGGUAACCAGCAGCAUGAAACCAGCAUGGGAGGCACAUCAGAGCCAGAAAGGCCAGAACCCGAACAGGCAGGAAACCAAAGGUGGCGGUGAGGAACCCAGGCAAGGUGGCGGCAUGUUCAUGUCCACCAGAGAACUGCUUAUGGAACGCUACACCAAGCUGUUCAACCAGGGGUGGCUAUCCAGGCAGGAGGCUGGAGGGUCCUCCAAGAGGCAGCACACUGAGAAUAAGGAUGGUGGCUCUCCAUCGAUAGCGCCGCCCCUUGCAGAUGGAGGUAGGCGCAGGCCAUUUGACAUUGACCUCAAUGCCGUGGCUCCAGAAAAGGAAUAG